GCGAGAGUAGCUCAGUUGGUAGAGCGUCAGCCUUCCAAGCUGAAUGUCGCCGGUUCGAACCCGGUCUCUCGCU
This is a transfer RNA of Formosa sp. Hel1_31_208, 73 nucleotides long. It matches the Rfam family "tRNA". Rfam says of the family: Transfer RNA (tRNA) molecules are approximately 80 nucleotides in length. Their secondary structure includes four short double-helical elements and three loops (D, anti-codon, and T loops). Further hydrogen bonds mediate the characteristic L-shaped molecular structure. tRNAs have two regions of fundamental functional importance: the anti-codon, which is responsible for specific mRNA codon recognition, and the 3' end, to which the tRNAs corresponding amino acid is attached (by aminoacyl-tRNA synthetases). tRNAs cope with the degeneracy of the genetic code in two manners: having more than one tRNA (with a specific anti-codon) for a particular amino acid; and 'wobble' base-pairing, i.e. permitting non-standard base-pairing at the 3rd anti-codon position. Lineage: Bacteria; Pseudomonadati; Bacteroidota; Flavobacteriia; Flavobacteriales; Flavobacteriaceae. The record is from Rfam.